UACGAAGGGUGCAAGCGUUAAUCGGAAUUGCUGGGCGUAAAGCGCGCGUAGGUGGUUCAGUAAGUUGGAAGUGAAAUCCCCGGGCUCAACCUGGGAACUGCUUUCAAAACUGCUGAGCUAGAGUACGGUAGAGGGUGGUGGAAUUUCCUGUGUAGCGGUGAAAUGCGUAGAUAUAGGAAGGAACACCAGUGGCGAAGGCGACCACCUGGACUGAUACUGACACUGAGGUGCGAAAGCGUGGGGAGCAAACAGG
RNAcentral lists this ribosomal RNA (253 nucleotides) under uncultured bacterium. RNAcentral describes it as "partial 16S ribosomal RNA". It matches the Rfam family "Bacterial small subunit ribosomal RNA", at positions 524 to 776 of the family's 1533-position model. The record is from RNAcentral.